RNAcentral lists this microRNA precursor (146 nucleotides) under Gossypium hirsutum (cotton). Its description in RNAcentral is "MIR7502 microRNA precursor family". It matches the Rfam family "MIR7502 microRNA precursor family". Lineage: Eukaryota; Viridiplantae; Streptophyta; Magnoliopsida; Malvales; Malvaceae. The record is from Rfam by way of RNAcentral.
GGUUAAAUAUUUCAUCUAUUUCUAUUGUUAAAAGUUAGUGCAGUUGGUAGAAUAGCUAGACAGUUAUAUAUGAUCUGUCACGUGUACUUCAUACCUGGUAAAAAUUGAUCAAUUUUUAAUAAUAGAAAUUUAUGAAUUUUUUAACA